CUCUGUGUUCUUUAUUUAAUGGUUUUAUUCAUUUAAAUGAUAUUGUAUUCCAUUGUUGAUAUAUAUAUAUAUAUAUAUAUAUAUAUAAUGUUUAGAUUAUGAAGUCGCUUUGAUUUGUGAAAAUAAUUUAUGGUUUCAUAAUGUAAAAAAUUGUAGGAAUUUUUUUUAGUCGAUAAAAUUGUGAGAUUUUAUGUUGCUUAAUGAAUUUUAUUUUCAGGAGAUGCCUACUCAACAUGAUUGUUGAAAUAUUUAUUUAUUUCUUUAUUUUUUAAGAUUGAAAAAUUCAAAAGAUCAAGUUUGGAAUGACUGGAGAUACCUGCUGUAUGCUUGUGAAUUUCCACUGUUUGUAAUUUUAUAGGGUUGCUAUUCUAGAAGGUCCUCAACAAGUCUGUUGCAUUUUAUAUAAGCUUACUUGAGUCUUUCUUAUAAGCUUACAAGUCUGUUGCAUUCUUAUAAGCUGAUUUGGAAUUGUAGCGAUAGUUGCAGGUGCAUUUUUCAAUAAGCUUCUAGCUGCUCUGGGAUUGUAGCAGAUGUUGCAGGGUGUUGUUCAAUAAUCUUCUAGGUCUUCUCAGAGAGUUAAUACUUUACUUUUUUUAAAAAUUUAGGGAUAAUGAAACAUUUAUCCUUCGUAAGUAAUAGAAGCCACCAUUUGAUAUUCUGUUUCUCUAUUUCAUGUAUCGCUUUCUUUACAUGCUUAUUUACUGUAUUUUACACAUUUCCCCCUUUAUUUUAGUGAAUGAAGCUGUUCUCCAGUUCACAAGUCUAAGUUUCUAUGUAGCUCGAAAAGUGAGCCUUCAGUGGAUGGGUAUGGCAUUUCAUCUAAAGGAGAUCUUUUCAUUAUUUUGUUACUGCUUUUUUCCAGAUAACUUUCUGGGAUAAUUUGAUGCCCUUUGAAUGACAUGAUUGCUGAUGCUGAUGGUUCCUCUAAAUAAUAGAUGAAACACUGUUUCCUGUGCAUCAAUAUAUUUCUUUGAUGUCAUUUCACAACUCAUUAGAUACAUCACUUUUUUAGGUGGUUCCUAUUGUUGUCUGUUUUCUAGGAUUCCUUUCCGUGGAUAUUCCUGACUUUUAUCUUUGCUUCUCUUCUAUUGAUGUCUUUUCUUGAUAUGAAUUUCUUCUUUUCAUCCUCCAAUGUCGAUUGCCUGCUUUUCCAACUUUUAGGUGCUCAUCCAGGUUCUUAGAUCCAUUAAACAGUUUGAUGAUCCUUGGAAGGAAGGUACUGGGUUAUCAACUAAUUCCAAGUUGGAAUUCUGUGAAGGACUUUUGCCAUGCUGUAGUGAUAUAUAUAGAACAGGCAAACAUUUUCACCUUUUGAGUGUUGUACGUUGAGUAUUUGCAAUCUGUUAACCUACCAAAACUACAGUUUUCAUGUCUUAGGACAAUAGAGAGCUGGAUACUUGUCAUAACAUUUAUUAUAGUGUCAUGUAUCUGUUUGGAAAUUUAGUAAAGUGGUUCUUCUUUUGAGUAUGACUUGAGGCCCCUAAAUCAUGAUUUAAAUUGUUGGUCGGAGGACCGAUGUUUACCUAUUGAUAUUAAUCACUGGUACAGAAGCAUAGAACUCAGUAUAUCUGAAUCAUUUAUAUUUAUUAUAUUGUUUUUUUCCGGUGACAUGCAUGGCACAGGUCGCUCUUGGUAUCUUGUUACUGUACCUCUCUGAUAUUUUUUUUGAAACCAGUAUUGAACUGCUAUCGAAAACCAUACCCUAAAUAAUUGCAUGAUGACAGACACUUCAUGGGUAGAAUAUUUAGCUAAGGAGCAACUGAAGCAGUAUCCUUUGUUUACAGAGUCUUACGCAUGCAGGGCAGAACCACAAUCUUCUGUGGCAAGUGAGUCCCUUCUGCAUCUUAUUUCGUUGAACUCUAAAGUUGACUGCAUACAUGGAGGAAAGCAAAUGAUUUCUUAACAGCGAUGCCGUCAUCAUGGUCGUGAUACUGAGAUGGUGCUCAUCAGCGGUGCGCAGACGGUUUUGUUUAUGAGUUUUGGCUACAUGCAGGUCAUGGAAGCAUAUAGCAUUUUUUGGUGAUGAUGUGGAUUCUACAAUCUGCUACCUGUUGGAGAUGGAAGGCAGCUAAGCUGUGCAUCUCCUGGUGGCAGAAACCGACACAAAGGGAGAGCAGUAGCAGAGUGAGUAUUGGAGGUUUGUCACGUUCAUACUGGUCCAUGGUCAGAAUGGUAUGGAUUCGACCUAUUUUGACAAGGGGGAGGGGGGAAUACGUCCGAAGAAGAAGAGGAAGAAGUGGAAAGGUAAAAAAUAAUAAUAAAGGAAAGAAGCAGUACCGGAGCGGACGGUCGCAUGGCGAGUUGGUCUGAUUGGCAGUCAGACCGGUAAAUAUUGAUCCUCAACGACCGAAUCAAUUGGUUUGUUAUGGGUCUGUUUGAUAUCUUACGUAACCAAAGCUACUCAUCCUGAUGUGUGUUAAAAAAAAAAGCUUAGUGAGUGCAUAAUAAUUCUGUCGACUGAUGAUUCGCAUAAGCAUCCUGCCACCCAUCCGGAUGUCUGGGUGCAGGAGAAAUGCUAUCGUUGAAGAAGGAUCCAAGUCCAGACAAUUAUAACAGUGGUGCUUCCGAUAAAAUAACAUAUUGCUAAUUCCACACUCGUAAGUAGGUGUAUGCAUAUAUAUGAACCGGUUGAACAGUGGUGUUAUUAAUAUUUAUAUAGUUUUGGAGUUUCCGAUGAGACAGCUUUUGUA
Long non-coding RNA from Musa acuminata AAA Group (dessert banana), 2690 nucleotides. RefSeq lists it as uncharacterized. Lineage: Eukaryota; Viridiplantae; Streptophyta; Magnoliopsida; Zingiberales; Musaceae. The transcript has 2 exons. The record is from RefSeq and is a predicted model, not a curated record.